AAUCAACGCUGGCGGCGUGCCUCAGACAUGCAAGUCGAACGAUUAAGACUUCCUUCGGGAAGUGCAUAAAGUGGCGCACGGGUGAGUAACACGCAAGUAAUCUACCCUCGAGUGGGGAAUAACGUUCGGAAACGGACGCUAAUACCGCAUAACGCAGCGGCACCGCAAGGUGACAGUUGUUAAAGGAGCAAUCCGCUUGAGGAGGAGCUUGCGGCAGAUUAGCUAGUUGGUAGGGUAAUGGCUUACCAAGGCUACGAUCUGUAUCCGGUCUAAGAGGACGGUCGGACACACUGACACUGAAUAACGGGUCAGACUCCUACGGGAGGCAGCAGUCGGGAAUUUUGGGCAAUGGGCGAAAGCCUGACCCAGCAACGCCGCGUGAAGGAUGAAGUAUUUCGGUAUGUAAACUUCGAAAGAAUAGGAAGAAUAAAUGACGGUACUAUUUAUAAGCUCCGGCUAACUACGUGCCAGCAGCCGCGGUAAUACGUAGGUCGCAAGCGUUGUUCGGAUUUACUGGGCGUAAAGGGCGCGUAGGCGGCGCGGUAAGUCACUUGUGAAAUCUCUGAGCUUAACUCAGAACGGCCAAGUGAUACUGCAGUGCUAGAGUGCAGAAAGGGCAAUCGGAAUUCUUGGUGUAGCGGUGAAAUGCGUAGAUAUCAAGAGGAACACCUGAGGCGAAGGCGGGUUGCUAGGCUGACACUGACGCUGAGGCGCGAAAGCCAGGGGAGCAAACGGGAUUAGAUACCCCGG
Molecule: ribosomal RNA, 750 nt
Filed under: uncultured bacterium
Lineage: Bacteria
Description: bacterial SSU rRNA
Rfam family: Bacterial small subunit ribosomal RNA
Source: RNAcentral